Molecule: ribosomal RNA, 253 nt
Filed under: uncultured bacterium
Lineage: Bacteria
Description: partial 16S ribosomal RNA
Rfam family: Bacterial small subunit ribosomal RNA
Source: RNAcentral
UACGAAGGGGGCUAGCGUUGCUCGGAAUUACUGGGCGUAAAGGGCGCGUAGGCGGCCUGUUAAGUCGAACGUGAAAUCCCCGGGCUCAACCCGGGAACUGCGUCCGAUACUGGCAGGCUUGAAUUCGGGAGAGGGAUGUGGAAUUCCAGGUGUAGCGGUGAAAUGCGUAGAUAUCUGGAGGAACACCGGUGGCGAAGGCGGAUCUCUGGGCCGUAACUGACGCUGAGGAGCGAAAGCAUGGGGAGCGAACAGG